Molecule: ribosomal RNA, 660 nt
Filed under: uncultured bacterium
Lineage: Bacteria
Description: bacterial SSU rRNA
Rfam family: Bacterial small subunit ribosomal RNA
Source: RNAcentral
AGUGGCGGACGGGUGAGUAACGCGUGAGAAUCUGCCUUGGGGUCGGGGACAACCACUGGAAACGGUGGCUAAUACCGGAUAAGCCGAUUGGUGAAAGAUUUAUUACCCGAAGAGGAGCUCGCGUCUGAUUAGCUAGUUGGUGAGGUAAGAGCUCACCAAGGCAGCGAUCAGUAGCUGGUCUGAGAGGACGAUCAGCCACACUGGGACUGAGACACGGCCCAGACUCCUACGGGAGGCAGCAGUGGGGAAUUUUCCGCAAUGGGCGAAAGCCUGACGGAGCAAGACCGCGUGAGGGAGGAAGGCUCUUGGGUUGUAAACCUCUUUUCUCAGGGAAGAAGCUCUGACGGUACCUGAGGAAUCAGCCUCGGCUAACUCCGUGCCAGCAGCCGCGGUAAUACGGAGGAGGCAAGCGUUAUCCGGAAUUAUUGGGCGUAAAGCGUCCGCAGGUGGCGAUUCAAGUCUGCUGUCAAAGCACGGGGCUUAACUCCGUAAAGGCAGUGGAAACUGAAUAGCUAGAGUGCCGUAGGGGUAGAGGGAAUUCCCGGUGUAGCGGUGAAAUGCGUAGAGAUCGGGAAGAACAUCGGUGGCGAAAGCGCUCUACUGGACGGCAACUGACACUCAGGGACGAAAGCUAGGGGAGCGAAUGGGAUUAGAUACCCC